This 2904-nucleotide ribosomal RNA is filed under the name Escherichia coli. RNAcentral's name for it is "23S ribosomal RNA". It matches the Rfam family "Bacterial large subunit ribosomal RNA". The record is from RNAcentral. Lineage: Bacteria; Pseudomonadati; Pseudomonadota; Gammaproteobacteria; Enterobacterales; Enterobacteriaceae.
GGUUAAGCGACUAAGCGUACACGGUGGAUGCCCUGGCAGUCAGAGGCGAUGAAGGACGUGCUAAUCUGCGAUAAGCGUCGGUAAGGUGAUAUGAACCGUUAUAACCGGCGAUUUCCGAAUGGGGAAACCCAGUGUGUUUCGACACACUAUCAUUAACUGAAUCCAUAGGUUAAUGAGGCGAACCGGGGGAACUGAAACAUCUAAGUACCCCGAGGAAAAGAAAUCAACCGAGAUUCCCCCAGUAGCGGCGAGCGAACGGGGAGCAGCCCAGAGCCUGAAUCAGUGUGUGUGUUAGUGGAAGCGUCUGGAAAGGCGCGCGAUACAGGGUGACAGCCCCGUACACAAAAAUGCACAUGCUGUGAGCUCGAUGAGUAGGGCGGGACACGUGGUAUCCUGUCUGAAUAUGGGGGGACCAUCCUCCAAGGCUAAAUACUCCUGACUGACCGAUAGUGAACCAGUACCGUGAGGGAAAGGCGAAAAGAACCCCGGCGAGGGGAGUGAAAAAGAACCUGAAACCGUGUACGUACAAGCAGUGGGAGCACGCUUAGGCGUGUGACUGCGUACCUUUUGUAUAAUGGGUCAGCGACUUAUAUUCUGUAGCAAGGUUAACCGAAUAGGGGAGCCGAAGGGAAACCGAGUCUUAACUGGGCGUUAAGUUGCAGGGUAUAGACCCGAAACCCGGUGAUCUAGCCAUGGGCAGGUUGAAGGUUGGGUAACACUAACUGGAGGACCGAACCGACUAAUGUUGAAAAAUUAGCGGAUGACUUGUGGCUGGGGGUGAAAGGCCAAUCAAACCGGGAGAUAGCUGGUUCUCCCCGAAAGCUAUUUAGGUAGCGCCUCGUGAAUUCAUCUCCGGGGGUAGAGCACUGUUUCGGCAAGGGGGUCAUCCCGACUUACCAACCCGAUGCAAACUGCGAAUACCGGAGAAUGUUAUCACGGGAGACACACGGCGGGUGCUAACGUCCGUCGUGAAGAGGGAAACAACCCAGACCGCCAGCUAAGGUCCCAAAGUCAUGGUUAAGUGGGAAACGAUGUGGGAAGGCCCAGACAGCCAGGAUGUUGGCUUAGAAGCAGCCAUCAUUUAAAGAAAGCGUAAUAGCUCACUGGUCGAGUCGGCCUGCGCGGAAGAUGUAACGGGGCUAAACCAUGCACCGAAGCUGCGGCAGCGACGCUUAUGCGUUGUUGGGUAGGGGAGCGUUCUGUAAGCCUGCGAAGGUGUGCUGUGAGGCACGCUGGAGGUAUCAGAAGUGCGAAUGCUGACAUAAGUAACGAUAAAGCGGGUGAAAAGCCCGCUCGCCGGAAGACCAAGGGUUCCUGUCCAACGUUAAUCGGGGCAGGGUGAGUCGACCCCUAAGGCGAGGCCGAAAGGCGUAGUCGAUGGGAAACAGGUUAAUAUUCCUGUACUUGGUGUUACUGCGAAGGGGGGACGGAGAAGGCUAUGUUGGCCGGGCGACGGUUGUCCCGGUUUAAGCGUGUAGGCUGGUUUUCCAGGCAAAUCCGGAAAAUCAAGGCUGAGGCGUGAUGACGAGGCACUACGGUGCUGAAGCAACAAAUGCCCUGCUUCCAGGAAAAGCCUCUAAGCAUCAGGUAACAUCAAAUCGUACCCCAAACCGACACAGGUGGUCAGGUAGAGAAUACCAAGGCGCUUGAGAGAACUCGGGUGAAGGAACUAGGCAAAAUGGUGCCGUAACUUCGGGAGAAGGCACGCUGAUAUGUAGGUGAAGUCCCUCGCGGAUGGAGCUGAAAUCAGUCGAAGAUACCAGCUGGCUGCAACUGUUUAUUAAAAACACAGCACUGUGCAAACACGAAAGUGGACGUAUACGGUGUGACGCCUGCCCGGUGCCGGAAGGUUAAUUGAUGGGGUUAGCGCAAGCGAAGCUCUUGAUCGAAGCCCCGGUAAACGGCGGCCGUAACUAUAACGGUCCUAAGGUAGCGAAAUUCCUUGUCGGGUAAGUUCCGACCUGCACGAAUGGCGUAAUGAUGGCCAGGCUGUCUCCACCCGAGACUCAGUGAAAUUGAACUCGCUGUGAAGAUGCAGUGUACCCGCGGCAAGACGGAAAGACCCCGUGAACCUUUACUAUAGCUUGACACUGAACAUUGAGCCUUGAUGUGUAGGAUAGGUGGGAGGCUUUGAAGUGUGGACGCCAGUCUGCAUGGAGCCGACCUUGAAAUACCACCCUUUAAUGUUUGAUGUUCUAACGUUGACCCGUGAUCCGGGUUGCGGACAGUGUCUGGUGGGUAGUUUGACUGGGGCGGUCUCCUCCUAAAGAGUAACGGAGGAGCACGAAGGUUGGCUAAUCCUGGUCGGACAUCAGGAGGUUAGUGCAAUGGCAUAAGCCAGCUUGACUGCGAGCGUGACGGCGCGAGCAGGUGCGAAAGCAGGUCAUAGUGAUCCGGUGGUUCUGAAUGGAAGGGCCAUCGCUCAACGGAUAAAAGGUACUCCGGGGAUAACAGGCUGAUACCGCCCAAGAGUUCAUAUCGACGGCGGUGUUUGGCACCUCGAUGUCGGCUCAUCACAUCCUGGGGCUGAAGUAGGUCCCAAGGGUAUGGCUGUUCGCCAUUUAAAGUGGUACGCGAGCUGGGUUUAGAACGUCGUGAGACAGUUCGGUCCCUAUCUGCCGUGGGCGCUGGAGAACUGAGGGGGGCUGCUCCUAGUACGAGAGGACCGGAGUGGACGCAUCACUGGUGUUCGGGUUGUCAUGCCAAUGGCACUGCCCGGUAGCUAAAUGCGGAAGAGAUAAGUGCUGAAAGCAUCUAAGCACGAAACUUGCCCCGAGAUGAGUUCUCCCUGACUCCUUGAGAGUCCUGAAGGAACGUUGAAGACGACGACGUUGAUAGGCCGGGUGUGUAAGCGCAGCGAUGCGUUGAGCUAACCGGUACUAAUGAACCGUGAGGCUUAACCUU